GACGAACGCGGGCGGCGUGCUUAACACAUGCAAGUCGAACGAUGAAGCCUAGCUUGCUAGGUGGAUUAGUGGCGAACGGGUGAGUAAUACGUGAGUGACCUACCUUUGACUCUGGGAUAAGCCUGGGAAACUGGGUCUAAUACCGGAUACGACCAAUCUCCGCAUGGGGUGUUGGUGGAAAGCGUUAUGGAGUGGUUUUAGAUGGGCUCACGGCCUAUCAGCUUGUUGGUGAGGUAAUGGCUUACCAAGGCGACGACGGGUAGCCGGCCUGAGAGGGUGACCGGCCACACUGGGAUGAGACACGGCCCAGACUCCUACGGGAGGCAGCAGUGGGGAAUAUUGCACAAUGGGCGCAAGCCUGAUGCAGCGACGCCGCGUGAGGGAUGACGGCCUUCCGGGUUGUAAACCUUCUGUUAGCAUCGAAGAAGCG
RNAcentral lists this ribosomal RNA (430 nucleotides) under Rothia dentocariosa. Its description in RNAcentral is "bacterial SSU rRNA". It matches the Rfam family "Bacterial small subunit ribosomal RNA", at positions 28 to 452 of the family's 1533-position model. Lineage: Bacteria; Bacillati; Actinomycetota; Actinomycetes; Micrococcales; Micrococcaceae. The record is from RNAcentral.